This 305-nucleotide ribosomal RNA is filed under the name uncultured bacterium. Its description in RNAcentral is "partial 16S ribosomal RNA". It matches the Rfam family "Bacterial small subunit ribosomal RNA", at positions 505 to 809 of the family's 1533-position model. The record is from RNAcentral.
ACAGCAGUCGCCACGGGAAUACGAAGGGGGCUAGCGUUGCUCGGAAUCACUGGGCGUAAAGGGCGCGUAGGCGGCCGAUUAAGUCGGGGGUGAAAGCCUGUGGCUCAACCACAGAAUUGCCUUCGAUACUGGUUGGCUUGAGACCGGAAGAGGACAGCGGAACUGCGAGUGUAGAGGUGAAAUUCGUAGAUAUUCGCAAGAACACCAGUGGCGAAGGCGGCUGUCUGGUCCGGUUCUGACGCUGAGGCGCGAAAGCGUGGGGAGCAAACAGGAUUAGAUACCCGUGUAGUCCCUGUCUCUUAUAU